Molecule: ribosomal RNA, 301 nt
Filed under: uncultured bacterium
Lineage: Bacteria
Description: partial 16S ribosomal RNA
Rfam family: Bacterial small subunit ribosomal RNA
Source: RNAcentral
CAGCCGCCGCGGUAAUACGAAGGGGGCUAGCGUUGCUCGGAAUUACUGGGCGUAAAGGGAGCGUAGGCGGACAUUUAAGUCAGGGGUGAAAUCCCAGAGCUCAACUCUGGAACUGCCUUUGAUACUGGGUGUCUUGAGUGUGAUAGAGGUAUGUGGAACUCCGAGUGUAGAGGUGAAAUUCGUAGAUAUUCGGAAGAACACCAGUGGCGAAGGCGACAUACUGGAUCAUUACUGACGCUGAGGCUCGAAAGCGUGGGGAGCAAACAGGAUUAGAUACCCCUGUAGUCCCUGUCUCUUAUAA